GUUGCUUGGGUCUGGUAGGAGUU
Molecule: non-coding RNA, 23 nt
Filed under: Cricetulus griseus (Chinese hamster)
Lineage: Eukaryota; Metazoa; Chordata; Mammalia; Rodentia; Cricetidae
Source: RNAcentral